AGCGAACGCUGGCGGCAGGCUUAACACAUGCAAGUCGAACGAAGCCUUCGGGCUUAGUGGCGGACGGGUGAGUAACACGUGGGAACGUACCUUUUGGUUCGGAACAACACAGGGAAACUUGUGCUAAUACUGAAUGAGCCCUUAGGGGGAAAGAUUUAUCGCCAUUAGAGCGGCCCGCGUUGGAUUAGCUAGUUGGUGGGGUAAAGGCCCACCAAGGCUACGAUCCAUAGCUGGUCUGAGAGGAUGACCAGCCACACUGGGACUGAGACACGGCCCAGACUCCUACGGGAGGCAGCAGUGGGGAAUCUUGCGCAAUGGGCGAAAGCCUGACGCAGCCAUGCCGCGUGAAUGAUGAAGGUCUUAGGAUUGUAAAAUUCUUUUACCAGGGACGAUAAUGACGGUACCUGGAGAAAAAGCUCCGGCUAACUUCGUGCCAGCCGCCGCGGUAA
RNAcentral lists this ribosomal RNA (449 nucleotides) under uncultured bacterium. Its description in RNAcentral is "partial 16S ribosomal RNA". It matches the Rfam family "Bacterial small subunit ribosomal RNA", at positions 29 to 523 of the family's 1533-position model. The record is from RNAcentral.